GAUGAACGCUGGCGGCGUGCCUAAUACAUGCAAGUAGAACGCGGAAGCUUGGUGCUUGCACCGAGCGGAUGAGUUGCGAACGGGUGAGUAACGCGUAGGUAACCUGCCUCUUAGCGGGGGAUAACUAUUGGAAACGAUAGCUAAUACCGCAUAAAAGUUGAUAUCGCAUGAUAUUGAUUUGAAAGGUGCAAAUGCAUCACUAAGAGAUGGACCUGCGUUGUAUUAGCUAGUUGGUGAGGUAACGGCUCACCAAGGCGACGAUACAUAGCCGACCUGAGAGGGUGAUCGGCCACACUGGGACUGAGACACGGCCCAGACUCCUACGGGAGGCAGCAGUAGGGAAUCUUCGGCAAUGGGGGCAACCCUGACCGAGCAACGCCGCGUGAGUGAAGAAGGUUUUCGGAUCGUAAAGCUCUGUUGUAAGAGAAGAACGAGUGUGAGAGUGGAAAGUUCACACUGUGACGGUAGCUUACCAGAAAGGGACGGCUAACUACGUG
This 497-nucleotide ribosomal RNA is filed under the name uncultured bacterium. Its description in RNAcentral is "partial 16S ribosomal RNA". It matches the Rfam family "Bacterial small subunit ribosomal RNA", at positions 28 to 507 of the family's 1533-position model. The record is from RNAcentral.